Seriola aureovittata is the source of this 430-nucleotide long non-coding RNA. RefSeq lists it as uncharacterized. Lineage: Eukaryota; Metazoa; Chordata; Actinopteri; Carangiformes; Carangidae. The record is from RefSeq and is a predicted model, not a curated record. The transcript has 3 exons.
CACAUGGAGCGAGGCGUCAUAUGUUGUCUGGCUCCCGGUGAAACAGCCAGACCUCACGUCCUCUGGCUGCGAUCUCCAGCAUACUAAACCAGACCGAGAGGGGGGGUUGCGUCAACCUUAACAUCUCUACAAUAGGCUACCGUGCGUAAAUGCAAACUUCAACACCUUGCAGCGCAAUCAGCAAAUCAUCACGGCGCUGACGUCAACGCAGCCAGUCAGCCAGACGAGCAGCAGGCAGACGGGCAGCCGCUGCUGCGCUCCAGCCCAUACAAACACUGAGAAAGUGAGACACCUAGGGGGCUGUCUCAUGUCAAACGGCUGUGUUACAGUAUGGCAGUGAAAGGCUACGACCUCUCUGACGACAGUGUUAAAGAGCUGCAAAUCCUGAAAGACGGUGGGGAAAACAGAUCAUAUAAUCAAUAAUUAAUGU